RNAcentral lists this ribosomal RNA (274 nucleotides) under uncultured bacterium. Its description in RNAcentral is "partial 16S ribosomal RNA". It matches the Rfam family "Bacterial small subunit ribosomal RNA", at positions 523 to 796 of the family's 1533-position model. The record is from RNAcentral.
AUACGAAAGGUGCAAGCGUUGUUCGGAUUUACUGGGCGUAAAGAGAUCGUAGGUGGUUUAUUAAGUCGGAUGUGAAAUCCCGGGGCUCAACCUCGGAACUGCAUUCGAUACUGGUAGACUAGAGUUUGGGAGGGGUAAGCGGAAUUCCGUGUGUAGCAGUGAAAUGCGUAGAUAUACGGAGGAACACCUGAGGCGAAGGCGGCUUACUGGACCAAUACUGACACUGAGGAUCGAAAGCGUGGGUAGCAAACAGGAUUAGAAACCCCGGUAGUCC